Parus major (Great Tit) is the source of this 1055-nucleotide long non-coding RNA. RefSeq lists it as uncharacterized. NCBI's taxonomy places the organism in Eukaryota, Metazoa, Chordata, Aves, Passeriformes, Paridae. The transcript is spliced from 3 exons. The record is from RefSeq and is a predicted model, not a curated record.
GAAAGAAAAAAAGGAAUGUGGAGCCCAGGUCUAGGUCAUUCUGCCAAUAAAGGAGGGAGAUUUGCAGUCAGAGGUAGAGGAGAGGGAGAAUAUUAACCAUUAGAAGUGCCUGGAAAUUACAAAAGACCUCAGCAACGUCUGUGACAAAGUGGCCACUGUGGCCAAAAGCUACUGCACUUGACAGUGACCACUGUUUCCAGCACUCUGAAAUAUUCCCUCCAUGUGGCUGGAGCUCUGAGAAAGGCUUUGCUGUGUGUUUGGGGAGCUGUCCCAGACAGAUGGCACAGGUUGGCUGAGACUGCCAAAACUGGAUGGGGACCAGCUUCUUGCAAGGAGUGCAGAUCUUGCAGUCUAAUGAGCUGAUCUUGGCUCCCUGGAAGACUGACUGUGUGGCCAAAGCAAGGAUUGCCUUUCUGGGCUUCAUGACACCGCUCUCCAGGAGCAGGGGUAUUAAAUCAUUAGACUGCCUUUGCAUAGGCAUCGUUUGGGCCUUGCUUAAGCUUCCCCUGAGCCAGUUUACUGUCACCUUCUCAAGCCAUUACAAUUUCCCACCCUGGCCUAACUCAGCCCUUUGGUCACAGUUCCGCAUUAAGAAAGGCUUCCAAAUCCACGUCACUUUGAAUUUGAAAUGGCAGUAAGUGACACAAAUUGAUGAUACAUCAAACUCUAGUCCUUGGUGUGGGCCAAUUCCUAAUUCAAAAUAGGAAUGUCCCCAAAAUCUCAUUCUCUUUUAUAAAAAACUCACAAGAUUUUCCUAGCUGGGAACAGGCCAGAAGUGCUGUGGGAAACUACUAUUAAGCCAAUUUUGUAGUAAGUAAAUAGUCAAAAGACAGAGAAAGUGGCCAAAACCAUUGCUUCUCCCAUUCAGAAACCACAUCUGUUAUAAUACUAUUAGGGCAGCACAACACAUUAAAGAGCUAAGGAACUCACUCUACUGUGGACACACUCCCUUUCCUAAUACACCACGGGCAUCACUCAUGAAAUAAAAUGAUGGAAUCAAUACUUUGUCAUACUUGUUUAGCUUCUUUGGGGAGAGCAAAUGUUUUUCCCCACCA